AUACGUAGGGUGCGAGCGUUGUCCGGAAUUAUUGGGCGUAAAGAGCUCGUAGGCGGCUUGUCGCGUCGGAUGUGAAAGCCCGGGGCUUAACUCCGGGUCUGCAUUCGAUACGGGCAGGCUAGAGUUCGGUAGGGGAGAUCGGAAUUCCUGGUGUAGCGGUGAAAUGCGCAGAUAUCAGGAGGAACACCGGUGGCGAAGGCGGAUCUCUGGGCCGAUACUGACGCUGAGGAGCGAAAGCGUGGGGAGCGAACA
Molecule: ribosomal RNA, 252 nt
Filed under: uncultured prokaryote
Description: partial 16S ribosomal RNA
Rfam family: Bacterial small subunit ribosomal RNA
Source: RNAcentral